GGCGGGACGAGCAGCACAGGCAUCGGCAGCGGACGGUACCCUGACUUAGAAGCAACCUUACUCCAAGUGGAAUGAUCCUUGUGGUGUGAGGAUGUUGUGGAAGUGGAAGUAUUGUGUUCAUGGAGUUCAGCAAGAACCUCAAGCAGGAAUUCUAUGAGAGCAUCGAUCGGCACAGUCCUUGUCUCCUCGAGUUAUUUCGAUCCAAGAGAGGUAAUGUUGGACAGUUGUUGACACAUAUUUCACAACAG
Molecule: long non-coding RNA, 248 nt
Organism: Perca fluviatilis (European perch)
Lineage: Eukaryota; Metazoa; Chordata; Actinopteri; Perciformes; Percidae
Exons: 3
Source: RefSeq, a predicted model, not a curated record